GCACACAGGUGCUGCAUGGCUGUCGUCAGCUCGUGUCGUGAGAUGUUGGGUUAAGUUCCGCAACGAGCGCAACCCUUGUCAUUAGUUGCUACGAAAGGGCACUCUAAUGAGACUGCCGGUGACAAACCGGAGGAAGUGGGGAUGACGUCAAGUCCUCAUGGCCCUUAUGGGUAGGGCUACACACGUCAUACAAUGGCCGGUACAAAGGGCAGCCAACCCGCGAGGGGGAGCCAAUCCCGUAAAGCCGGUCGUAGUCCGGAUCGCAGUCUGCAACUCGACUGCGUGAAGUCGGAAUCGCUAGUAAUCGUGGAUCAGCAUGUCACGGUGAAUACGUUCCCGGGUCUU
This 345-nucleotide ribosomal RNA is filed under the name uncultured Hydrogenophaga sp. Its description in RNAcentral is "bacterial SSU rRNA". It matches the Rfam family "Bacterial small subunit ribosomal RNA", at positions 1030 to 1382 of the family's 1533-position model. The record is from RNAcentral. Lineage: Bacteria; Pseudomonadati; Pseudomonadota; Betaproteobacteria; Burkholderiales; Comamonadaceae.